GUCGUCAGCUCGUGUCGUGAGAUGUUGGGUUAAGUCCCGCAACGAGCGCAACCCUUGUGAUUAGUUGCCAGCACGUCAAGGUGGGAACUCUAGUCAGACUGCCCAGAUCAACUGGGAGGAAGGUGGGGACGACGUCAGGUCAGUAUGGCCCUUACGCCUUGGGCUGCACACGUACUACAAUGCCCAGCACAAUGAGAACCGAUGCCGCGAGGUGGAGGAAAUCUGUAAAACUGGGCUCAGUUCGGAUUGGAGGCUGCAACUCGCCUCCAUGAAGUUGGAAUCGCUAGUAAUGGGGCAUCAUCUACGGCCCCGUGAAUACGUUCCCGGGUCUUGUACACACCGCCCGUCACAUCAUGGAAGCCGGUCGCACCCGAAGUGCCCGUACCAACCGCAAGGGGGUAGGGUCCUAAGGUGUAGCUGGUAACUGGGAUGAAGUCGUAACAAGGUAACC
RNAcentral lists this ribosomal RNA (451 nucleotides) under uncultured bacterium. RNAcentral's name for it is "bacterial SSU rRNA". It matches the Rfam family "Bacterial small subunit ribosomal RNA", at positions 1051 to 1501 of the family's 1533-position model. The record is from RNAcentral.